Molecule: long non-coding RNA, 339 nt
Filed under: Salvia miltiorrhiza (redroot sage)
Lineage: Eukaryota; Viridiplantae; Streptophyta; Magnoliopsida; Lamiales; Lamiaceae
Description: long non-coding RNA (SMIL_LNC008615)
Source: RNAcentral
AUAAAUUAUCUCUCUCUCUAUAUAUGUAUACAACGAUUAUAUUUCUGGCUAAUACUUAUAAAAAAAAUUCACACUUUAGCCCAUUCAGAAAAGAAGAAGAAAACAAUGUAGCCUAGAACAUUGGAGUACUAACAAAAAUAAAUAAAUAAAUAAAUAAAGAGACUAAUGGUCCAAAUUUCGUGCAAUUACCUUACUCUUUUUCUUUUUUUCAUUAUCUUCCCUCCAUAUUAUUACUCCCUCCGUCCCGUUAUUCAAGUCCCAUUUUCCUUUUUGGGUUGUCCCACCGAUAAUGUCCCGUUUCCUAAAAAGGAAAUAAUAAGGGGAUGCUUAACAUUAAAU